CGCGCCGCUGGCCUGGUCGCCGACCCCCGGCUGCCCGUCGUGUCGUUCACCGGUUCGGGCCCGGUCGGCGCGC
This 73-nucleotide transfer RNA is filed under the name Couchioplanes azureus. Its description in RNAcentral is "Couchioplanes caeruleus subsp. azureus tRNA-Gly". The record is from RNAcentral. Lineage: Bacteria; Bacillati; Actinomycetota; Actinomycetes; Micromonosporales; Micromonosporaceae.